Molecule: long non-coding RNA, 910 nt
Filed under: Homo sapiens (human)
Lineage: Eukaryota; Metazoa; Chordata; Mammalia; Primates; Hominidae
Description: HSALNT0147585
Source: RNAcentral
CGGGGGCGGGCUGCACGGCGAGAAGGGCAAAAUAAAACCAGCCCGAGAGGCCCUGGCUGGGGUUGAGACUGCAGGAGUAACUUCUGCACCGAGGCAGCGCGCAGCCAGUCGGGGAAGAACUCUGCAACCUGACCGAAAGAAAGUCCGACCCUCUCGGGAGGGCUGCCAGGAUGCUGGAGCGAGUGUCAGGGUCCGAGACUCCCAAGUCGGGCGAGGGCUCCUGCCCCUGGCCAUUGGGUACCCCCCUCCGACCAACACCCCCGUCCCGCUUCAGAGCGUCGGCCCCACAGACCUAGAUGGGCAAGAUACCAAAUACUUUUCUUGGAAUACAUCAUCUUGAUUGAAAACUACUAGGAUAUUUUUGAAAAAAUAGCUCAUUAGCUGGCUGGGUAAGUUUGUUUGUUUACAAUGGACUUUUCAAUGAUGGUGGUAGGCAUCCUGGAAGAUAGCCACUGUACUAAGUUCAUUUUUCUCUGUUCUUGGCUGCUCCUCUAACCUUGAACUUUAUUUAGUCAGGGAAAAUGGAAGGAAUGGGAAUGCUAACUAAUGGAAGAAAGAUAUUUUCUUUGACCUUUGAAAAACAGACUUAAGUAAUUGAACCAUAAAUUUAGAAACCGGGCUUUUAACAAAUGAAAAUUUUAAGAUGUAUAAAAACAGCUCCCAUAAGUAUAUGCACCAAAUGUAUUAACCUUGUGAUAUAUAAGAUUGCACCUAGGAAAAGUUAACACCGUUGGAGAUUAUUAAGACUUACCAACUCAUUCAGCUUUAAUAAGCAGAACUUGAGCCAAGUGCGGAACACACUUGUACCAAAUUGGCAAGAAUUAUACACUUAAAUGUAAAUACAUUUUUUUCUGCGAGGUAAAGCUAUUAAGCCCCCCAAAACACCUUAGAUAUAUUUUUUGAAAACUGU